Long non-coding RNA from Sphaeramia orbicularis (orbiculate cardinalfish), 1110 nucleotides. RefSeq lists it as uncharacterized. The record is from RefSeq and is a predicted model, not a curated record. NCBI's taxonomy places the organism in Eukaryota, Metazoa, Chordata, Actinopteri, Kurtiformes, Apogonidae. The transcript is spliced from 2 exons.
UAUCCCAGACCCCUGUUAGAGAAGAAACACCUGAAUUCAAUGUGUCCCAAUACUUUUGUCUAUAUAGUGUAUGACUCAUUACGCACAUGCUAACACUACAUAAUGAACCAUUGCUUUUUCUUGUGAGACAUUUACGUAAUCAGCUCUUAUUUGGAAUGGCAAACUUAGAAAAAUAUAAAUAAUAAAAAUGCUUUUAAAAAUUUCUAUUAGAUGGAAAAGCAUGUCAUACAAACUACAAUAUCGUAUGGAAAUACUUACUACUGUCCUGAUUCAUGGGGUGGUUUUGUUUUGUUUUGGUUAAGUAAUAGCUUCAGUCUUGACGUGACUGUGAAAGUGGGAUUUAUUGGACACAGUAGAGAUGUGGUCCGGUCAGUGAUUAAGAGCAGAAUAAGCUGAUGGUGAAACACUUCCCUGUGGAAAAUCAAUAACCUUUCUGCCACUUAUUCAAUAGUAAAUGCAUAAGGUUUAUUCUUCUUUUCCUUCCAAUGUGAAAGACUUCAAAAUGUGUCUGUAUUCUCUCUCAGCUGUUCAUUUCAGAUCCAUUUUUCCAUGGCUGUGAGUCUCUCUAAGUGCUCUUUUGAUUGUUGGAGUCGACCGCUCUGCUUCUUCGGAGCAGAUUUCAGUAAUGGCCGCGCUGUCGUGUCUGAAGUGUUUGUUAUUCUUGUUUGAAAAUGCCAGAGAGGCCAUUAAAGCAGAAUACUGAAAGUCUCAUCAUCAUCACAUUAGCUGCUUUUUCUUCUGUUUUAGAGCGACGUUGCAGAGCUGCUGUUUUUUUAAUUAUCAGAAAAUGAAAUAUGUCAUAAUAAUUUUUAAGGUCUCUGUGAAAUAUUCAGGUGAAAAAAAAGAAAAAAAAGAAAUAGCUCAUUGUCAGUGGAUGAAAAUGGUGUACUUGGUUAUUCUGUAGCUGCAUUUCCAUCACUGCACAUCCUUAUUUCCAUCCUCAGUUUAUGUGACUUGACUUCUGUAUCUCUUUUCCUUUUCGGUAAUGUUGAAGGGUUUGGGUGGGUGACGAGGCUCUGAGCAAAUGGCUACUGACAAUCAGAGCUAGGGGCCCCAAAGCUUUUAAUGACAGGCAGCAAAUGUGAUGAAUAAAGUUUGAAUGAUUGAAAU